Molecule: ribosomal RNA, 3027 nt
Filed under: Salmonella enterica subsp. enterica
Lineage: Bacteria; Pseudomonadati; Pseudomonadota; Gammaproteobacteria; Enterobacterales; Enterobacteriaceae
Also listed under: 1 other name
Description: bacterial LSU rRNA
Rfam family: Bacterial large subunit ribosomal RNA
Source: RNAcentral
GGGUUGUGAGGUUAAGCGACUAAGCGUACACGGUGGAUGCCUUGGCAGUCAGAGGCGAUGAAGGGCGUGCUAAUCUGCGAUAAGCGCCGGUAAGGUGAUAUGAACCGUUAUAACCGGCGAUACCCGAAUGGGGAAACCCAGUGUGACUCGUCACACUAUCAUUAACUGAAUCCAUAGGUUAAUGAGGCGAACCGGGGGAACUGAAACAUCUAAGUACCCCGAGGAAAAGAAAUCAACCGAGAUUCCCCCAGUAGCGGCGAGCGAACGGGGAGGAGCCCAGAGCCUGAAUCAGCAUGUGUGUUAGUGGAAGCGUCUGGAAAGGCGCGCGAUACAGGGUGACAGCCCCGUACACAAAAGCGCAUGUGCUGUGAGCUCGAUGAGUAGGGCGGGACACGUGGUAUCCUGUCUGAAUAUGGGGGACCAUCCUCCAAGGCUAAAUACUCCUGACUGACCGAUAGUGAACCAGUACCGUGAGGGAAAGGCGAAAAGAACCCCGGCGAGGGGAGUGAAAAAGAACCUGAAACCGUGUACGUACAAGCAGUGGGAGCCCCACCACUAAGCCAGUGGUGAACUCCACAUCCGCAUCCUUUGCUGAGGAUACGGUUAACGGAGCGAAAGCGACGUUCAACCGCAAAACAAGCAGAGGGGGCUUAGUGGUGGGGUGACUGCGUACCUUUUGUAUAAUGGGUCAGCGACUUAUAUUCUGUAGCAAGGUUAACCGAAUAGGGGAGCCGGAGGGAAACCGAGUCUUAAUUGGGCGUUAAGUUGCAGGGUAUAGACCCGAAACCCGGUGAUCUAGCCAUGGGCAGGUUGAAGGUUGGGUAACACUAACUGGAGGACCGAACCGACUAAUGUUGAAAAAUUAGCGGAUGACCUGUGGCUGGGGGUGAAAGGCCAAUCAAACCGGGAGAUAGCUGGUUCUCCCCGAAAGCUAUUUAGGUAGCGCCUCGUGAAUUCAUCUCCGGGGGUAGAGCACUGUUUCGGCUAGGGGGCCAUCCCGGCUUACCAACCCGAUGCAAACUGCGAAUACCGGAGAAUGUUAUCACGGGAGACACACGGCGGGUGCUAACGUCCGUCGUGAAGAGGGAAACAACCCAGACCGCCAGCUAAGGUCCCAAAGUCAUGGUUAAGUGGGAAACGAUGUGGGAAGGCCCAGACAGCCAGGAUGUUGGCUUAGAAGCAGCCAUCAUUUAAAGAAAGCGUAAUAGCUCACUGGUCGAGUCGGCCUGCGCGGAAGAUGUAACGGGGCUAAACCAUGCACCGAAGCUGCGGCAGCGACGCUGAUGCGUUGUUGGGUAGGGGAGCGUUCUGUAAGCCUGCGAAGGUGACCUGUGAGGGUUGCUGGAGGUAUCAGAAGUGCGAAUGCUGACAUAAGUAACGAUAAAGCGGGUGAAAAGCCCGCUCGCCGGAAGACCAAGGGUUCCUGUCCAACGUUAAUCGGGGCAGGGUGAGUCGACCCCUAAGGCGAGGCCGAAAGGCGUAGUUGAUGGGAAACGGGUUAAUAUUCCCGUACUUGGUGUUACUGCGAAGGGGGGACGGAGAAGGCUAUGUUGGCCGGGCGACGGUUGUCCCGGUUUAAGCGUGUAGGUGUGUGUUCCAGGUAAAUCCGGUUCACUUUAACACUGAGGCGUGAUGACGAGGCACUACGGUGCUGAAGCAACAAAUGCCCUGCUUCCAGGAAAAGCCUCUAAGCAUCAGGUAACAUCAAAUCGUACCCCAAACCGACACAGGUGGUCAGGUAGAGAAUACCAAGGCGCUUGAGAGAACUCGGGUGAAGGAACUAGGCAAAAUGGUGCCGUAACUUCGGGAGAAGGCACGCUGACACGUAGGUGAAGUGAUUUACUCAUGGAGCUGAAGUCAGUCGAAGAUACCAGCUGGCUGCAACUGUUUAUUAAAAACACAGCACUGUGCAAACACGAAAGUGGACGUAUACGGUGUGACGCCUGCCCGGUGCCGGAAGGUUAAUUGAUGGGGUCAGCGCAAGCGAAGCUCCUGAUCGAAGCCCCGGUAAACGGCGGCCGUAACUAUAACGGUCCUAAGGUAGCGAAAUUCCUUGUCGGGUAAGUUCCGACCUGCACGAAUGGCGUAAUGAUGGCCAGGCUGUCUCCACCCGAGACUCAGUGAAAUUGAACUCGCUGUGAAGAUGCAGUGUACCCGCGGCAAGACGGAAAGACCCCGUGAACCUUUACUAUAGCUUGACACUGAACAUUGAGCCUUGAUGUGUAGGAUAGGUGGGAGGCUUUGAAGUGUGGACGCCAGUCUGCAUGGAGCCGACCUUGAAAUACCACCCUUUAAUGUUUGAUGUUCUAACGUGGACCCGUAAUCCGGGUUGCGGACAGUGUCUGGUGGGUAGUUUGACUGGGGCGGUCUCCUCCUAAAGAGUAACGGAGGAGCACGAAGGUUGGCUAAUCCUGGUCGGACAUCAGGAGGUUAGUGCAAUGGCAUAAGCCAGCUUGACUGCGAGCGUGACGGCGCGAGCAGGUGCGAAAGCAGGUCAUAGUGAUCCGGUGGUUCUGAAUGGAAGGGCCAUCGCUCAACGGAUAAAAGGUACUCCGGGGAUAACAGGCUGAUACCGCCCAAGAGUUCAUAUCGACGGCGGUGUUUGGCACCUCGAUGUCGGCUCAUCACAUCCUGGGGCUGAAGUAGGUCCCAAGGGUAUGGCUGUUCGCCAUUUAAAGUGGUACGCGAGCUGGGUUUAGAACGUCGUGAGACAGUUCGGUCCCUAUCUGCCGUGGGCGCUGGAGAACUGAGGGGGGCUGCUCCUAGUACGAGAGGACCGGAGUGGACGCAUCACUGGUGUUCGGGUUGUCAUGCCAAUGGCACUGCCCGGUAGCUAAAUGCGGAAGAGAUAAGUGCUGAAAGCAUCUAAGCACGAAACUUGCCCCGAGAUGAGUUCUCCCUGAGACUUUAGGUCUCCUGAAGGAACGUUGAAGACGACGACGUUGAUAGGCCGGGUGUGUAAGCGCAGCGAUGCGUUGAGCUAACCGGUACUAAUGAACCGUGAGGCUUAACCUUACAACGCCGAAG